Molecule: transfer RNA, 76 nt
Filed under: Acinetobacter baumannii 1406750
Lineage: Bacteria; Pseudomonadati; Pseudomonadota; Gammaproteobacteria; Moraxellales; Moraxellaceae
Description: tRNA-Glu
Rfam family: tRNA
About the family: Transfer RNA (tRNA) molecules are approximately 80 nucleotides in length. Their secondary structure includes four short double-helical elements and three loops (D, anti-codon, and T loops).
Source: RNAcentral
GUCCCUAUCGUCUAGAGGCCUAGGACAUCGCCCUUUCACGGCGGUAACCGGGGUUCGAAUCCCCGUAGGGAAGCCA